Long non-coding RNA from Anopheles stephensi (Asian malaria mosquito), 1006 nucleotides. RefSeq lists it as uncharacterized. NCBI's taxonomy places the organism in Eukaryota, Metazoa, Arthropoda, Insecta, Diptera, Culicidae. The record is from RefSeq and is a predicted model, not a curated record. The transcript is spliced from 2 exons.
CUGGAAGAAAGAGGAGAAGCACAUUUUUUAACACAACGGUGACCACGGAAAGCCUAGUGAUGGAUAACGGAGCACGGGCCCCCUUUCUUUUGCUAAAUCACCCACGGAAAAGUUACCACAGCACGGCUGCCAAGGCAAUCACCAAGGGUCGCUAAGGUGAAGGAAAACUGCGUGUUGCGUUUUUGGUGCUGGGGUUUCAAGUUUCACCUCCCGCACCACUGUUAUCCAAACACCGCAUACACGCCGUUCUGAAGUGUUGUGAAGAAGAUUCGGAAGAAAAACACGUUUUUUUGCUGCUAGUGAAUCCCGCGCCUGUGUGUGUGUGUAUGCUAGCAAAUUUUCAUACCACCCUCUGACGGGGAACCGACACUCACUGCCUGCUGGUGCUCGUAUUCGAUUGCCGUCUUACUGAUCGGAUUUUCUCGCGACGAGCGAAAUUUUCCCCACUUUUCCGUCUGCACCCACACACCCUAGCGCAAAACCCACCCACCCGGGGCGGUGAGCGAUGUUUUUUGUUGUUGUGUUGCGAUUGAUUGAAGAAAGACCGUUCGACGCGCACUUUCACUGGUUCCCGGACUGGGUAGACACUCGACACGCGUGGAACCUCUGCUGCGUACACGUACGGUACACGGUCGCGGUUCGUACUGUGAUUGAACGCGUGUACAUCGGUUUCACCGGGAUACGAUACAACACUGCCCGGUGGGUGCCUCUUACCCGAUGAAAACUCAACGCGAGCGGGUGGGGCAAGGAAAACCCGUGUCUGCGAGCGCACAGCGCAAUUUCUAUGCUUUCCGUCGUCACACACGGAAACGAACGGUUCGGAUGUCUCGUCGACGGACUCGUUGGGGCUGGACUGUUCGCCGAUAUUCGCGCGAAGAAAGAUGUUGUCAGCAGGGGUUGCUCGGUAAGCGUUUUAUCGUUUCGCUCGCCAUACUUGCGACAACUUUUCGCUCCAACGAAAGAUACACCAUCGAAAAUAUACAAAAAAUGAUUUUUUUUUAUGAUA